GAUGAACGCUGGCGGCGUGCCUAAUACAUGCAAGUCGAGCGAACGGACUAGAAGCUUGCUUCUCUGAUGUUAGCGGCGGACGGGUGAGUAACACGUGGAUAACCUACCUAUAAGACUGGGAUAACUUCGGGAAACCGGAGCUAUUACCGGAUAAUAUUUUGAACCGCCUGGUUCAAAAGUGAAAGACGGUCCUGCUGUCACUUAUAGAUGGCUCCGCGCUGCAUUAGCUAGUUGGUAAGGUAACGGCUUACCAAGGCAACGAUGCAUAGCCGACCUGAGAGGGUGAUCGGCCACACUGGAACUGAGACACGGUCCAGACUCCUACGGGAGGCAGCAGUAGGGAAUCUUCAGCAAAGGGCGAAAGCCUGACGGAGCAACGCCGCGUGAGUGAUGAAGGUCUUCGGAUCGUAAAACUCUGUUAUUAGGGAAGAACAUAUGUGUAAGUAACUGUGCACAUCUUGACGGUACCUAAUCAGAAAGCCACGGCUAACUACGUG
RNAcentral lists this ribosomal RNA (497 nucleotides) under uncultured bacterium. RNAcentral describes it as "partial 16S ribosomal RNA". It matches the Rfam family "Bacterial small subunit ribosomal RNA", at positions 28 to 507 of the family's 1533-position model. The record is from RNAcentral.